GAUCAUCAGCGGCGCCAGUUUGAAUCCUUUGAACAAAGGCGAAGACAGAAAAUUGCUGAAAGGAGGGCACAUCUAUGUCAAAUUGUUGAGGCUUUGCAAUACAGUUUCAGUACCCUGAUGGCACCAGGAAAACAAGGAAAUUUGUUGAGUCUCAACCAAUUCAGGAUCUGUUUGCCUUUGCUGGUUCAGACGACAUGGCCAGUGAAGUAUUCCGUGUACAGCUGUCCUGGUCACCGAACACUUUACUUAGUACUGUUGAUGGUAGCCUCUCAGAUCAUGAAAUUAGUAGGCCCUCAACCUUAUAUGUGCUUUGGAUGUCAGGUGUUCAAAUAGAGGAAUUAAUUGCAUCCAGUGUUGAAUCUUCAACUGACCAACUGGCUGCUACUCAGGACUUAGGAAGCAUCCCAAGUCCCCUCCAUUCCAGUGAUCAGGAUGUUGGCUUCUCCCCCUGCCCUGUUCCAGCUUUCUCACCACCAAUUGACAAUUCUUCACCCUCG
Carassius auratus (goldfish) is the source of this 497-nucleotide long non-coding RNA. RefSeq lists it as uncharacterized. The record is from RefSeq and is a predicted model, not a curated record. NCBI's taxonomy places the organism in Eukaryota, Metazoa, Chordata, Actinopteri, Cypriniformes, Cyprinidae. The transcript is spliced from 4 exons.